CGCCACUCCUCAUCCAUAUGCGUGCCUUAUCCACACCGUCACUUCCCCUUCUCACUCAUCGCUGCUCCUCCUCUUCUCCAGCCACUAUCACCCAGUGAUGCUCUUCCUCUUCUACACGCAUUGCACGGACGAUGCACUCCACUCUCCUGGAGUGCACGCCGCCAUGGUGGCUGGCCAGAGCCAAGGCAGCACCCCUUACCAGCGCGAGGAACCCAGAGACGCCAUGGAUGGCGCCAUGGAUGCUCCUCUGCCGUUGGUCUGAUCUGGCCGUCCCGUCCCAGUCGUCGGCCCGCUCCGGAUCCGGCCAGCAGCCUUGCCUCCGAUCCGAUUCGGAUGGCCCUGCCUACAGCCUCCGCCACCUGCGGCAUGCCCCCCAGAGGUCCGGCUGAUCCAGCCUGUCCACGAAGUCCAGCCGGCCCUCCUCCCGGGCGCGUUCCUCGGUCGUUGCCACGUGCUCGGCCAACAACUUCGUUGAACUGGUGGUACACCCGGUGCAGCUUGCCCUGCACUCCCUGGACACAUUGCUUCUUCUACAUCUACCUGAUGCUGUCCCUUCUCUUCUUCUCUAUCAGGGCAGCAUCAACCCCCUUUUCCCUGUCGGUGAGGAACUCCAGCAGAGGAUGGACUGUGUUUUGGAGCUCCUCGAUCUGGCCUCCCCUGCUCAGUUGCCGCUCCAUGCUCCGGAUCUGGCCACAGUAGGCCUCGCCCCCGACGACCAACAGGCUCAGAUCCAUCCCUUCCCUCCUCCUGUCCUCCACAUGCGUAGGGGCUGUGGCGCCAGAUCAAGGGAGCCUGCCAAUGGAGGUCACCGCCUCUCCGUCUCGUUCCGUCCGCCGCCGGAUCCACCACGUUGUGCCAUGGAUGGGCGCCUUGCAGCUCCUCCUCCCGUCACCUAAUCUGCCUGCCCGCCCGUGCUCCAGAUCCGGCUAACAGCCUCGCCUCCGACCCGAUUCAGACAGGCGCCCACACAAUCUCACUCCGCCACCUGCGCCUCAGGUCUGACCGAUCCUGCGUCGCUCAUCCUCGCUGCUUUUCUUGUUUAAGUUAGCCCCGCUGUUUCUUUUGCUCGCAGCUUGCGAGGAGGCCAGGGCGCGCCUUGUCCAGCCGCGGGCUACCUGGUGUGUCAGUCAGCCCAGCCGCCUCGACCCAGCCUUCUCCUUCUCCGCCCCCAGCUCUAGGCCUCAAACAACUCCCACUUUUUGGAAAUCCUCCGUAGAGCGAGGGGCACCGGUGGUGGUGGUGUUCGCUCGGUGGACUCUGUUCCAUUUUCUUUGCUCCUUCACGCUUUGGCAAUUCCUUCUGUUCCCUUUCUCUGCUUGUUUUGAUUUCUAAUGUGGCUUGUUGAUUCUCAUGGCAACUCCGAGGGACUGUUAUGCAAAAUCGCGCACGACGACAUAUCGACGAAGGCGAUCUUAUGGAUGAAGAGUACGAUAGCGAGUCUGACGCCUAGAGGAGUCCCAGU
Molecule: long non-coding RNA, 1462 nt
Organism: Triticum dicoccoides
Lineage: Eukaryota; Viridiplantae; Streptophyta; Magnoliopsida; Poales; Poaceae
Exons: 3
Source: RefSeq, a predicted model, not a curated record